RNAcentral lists this ribosomal RNA (460 nucleotides) under uncultured bacterium. RNAcentral describes it as "partial 16S ribosomal RNA". It matches the Rfam family "Bacterial small subunit ribosomal RNA", at positions 338 to 795 of the family's 1533-position model. The record is from RNAcentral.
CCUACGGGGGGCAGCAGUGAGGAAUAUUGGUCAAUGGACGAGAGUCUGAACCAGCCAAGUAGCGUGAAGGAUGACUGCCCUAUGGGUUGUAAACUUCUUUUAUAUGGGAAUAAAAUGUUCCACGUGUGGGAUUUUGUAUGUACCAUAUGAAUAAGGAUCGGCUAACUCCGUGCCAGCAGCCGCGGUAAUACGGAGGAUCCGAGCGUUAUCCGGAUUUAUUGGGUUUAAAGGGAGCGUAGGUGGAUUGUUAAGUCAGUUGUGAAAGUUUGCGGCUAAACCGUAAAAUUGCAGUUGAAACUGGCAGUCUUGAGUACAGUAGAGGUGGGCGGAAUUCGUGGUGUAGCGGUGAAAUGCUUAGAUAUCACGAAGAACUCCGAUUGCGAAGGCAGUUCACUGGACUGCAACUGACACUGAGGCUCGAAAGUGUGGGUAUCAAACAGGAUUAGAUACCCCUGUAGUC